This 500-nucleotide ribosomal RNA is filed under the name uncultured bacterium. Its description in RNAcentral is "partial 16S ribosomal RNA". It matches the Rfam family "Bacterial small subunit ribosomal RNA", at positions 30 to 523 of the family's 1533-position model. The record is from RNAcentral.
AUUGAACGCUGGCGGCAUGCCUUACACAUGCAAGUCGAACGGCAGCACGGGAGCAAUCCUGGUGGCGAGUGGCGAACGGGUGAGUAAAGUAUCGGAACGUGCCCAGUCGUGGGGGAUAACGUAGCGAAAGUUACGCUAAUACCGCAUACGAUCUAUGGAUGAAAGCGGGGGAUCGCAAGACCUCGCGCGAUUGGAGCGGCCGAUAUCUGAUUAGGUAGUUGGUGGGGUAAAGGCCCACCAAGCCGACGAUCUGUAGCUGGUCUGAGAGGACGACCAGCCACACUGGGACUGAGACACGGCCCAGACUCCUACGGGAGGCAGCAGUGGGGAAUUUUGGACAAUGGGCGAAAGCCUGAUCCAGCCAUGCCGCGUGCAGGAUGAAGGCCUUCGGGUUGUAAACUGCUUUUGUACGGAACGAAAAGGACUGCCCUAAUACGGUGGUCCCAUGACGGUACCGUAAGAAUAAGCACCGGCUAACUACGUGCCAGCAGCCGCGGUAA